GAUGAACGCUGGCGGCGUGCCUAAUACAUGCAAGUCGAACGAAACUUCUUUAUCACCGAGUGCUUGCACUCACCGAUAAAGAGUUGAUUGGCGAACGGGUGAGUAACACGUGGGCAACCUGCCCAAAAGAGGGGGAUAACACUUGGAAACAGGUGCUAAUACCGCAUAACCAUAGUUACCGCAUGGUAACUAUGUAAAAGGUGACUAUACUACCGCUUUUGGUUGGUCCCGCGGCGCUUUAGCUAGUUGGUAGGGUAAAGGCUUACCAGGGCAAUGAUGCGUAGCCGAAUUGAGAGGUUGAUCGGCCACAUUGGGCUUGAAACACGGCCCAAACUCCUACGGGAGGCAGCAGUAGGGAAUCUUCCACAAUGGGCGAAAUCCUGAUGGAGCAACGCCGCGUGGGUGAAGAAGGUUUUCGGAUCGUAAAACCCUGUUGUUAGAGAAGACAGUGCGUGAGAGUAACUGUUCACGUUUCGACGGUAUCUAACCGGAAAGCCACGGCUAACUACGUG
RNAcentral lists this ribosomal RNA (512 nucleotides) under uncultured bacterium. RNAcentral's name for it is "partial 16S ribosomal RNA". It matches the Rfam family "Bacterial small subunit ribosomal RNA", at positions 28 to 507 of the family's 1533-position model. The record is from RNAcentral.